CGUCUUCAGGGUCCCUCAGGGAUCCAUACUAUCCUUGCCCCUCUCAUCAACGAAACCACUGGGAGAAGACGUGAGAUGCCAUGGGCUCAGCUGUCAACAAUAUGCAGAUGACACCCAACCCUAUAGCUCAUUUGCCACUGAUGCCACCACCACCAUUAGAAAGAUAUCAGAAUGGCUACAGGAAGUCAGCUCUUGGAAUGAGUGGAAACCUUACCCCCAGAUGAGGACCUGACCACAGUGUUCCAUGCAUUCAUCCCCUCUGGGCUGGCUUACUGUAAUUCAGUGUGUCUGAAGCUGAAUGUGAAGAUGAUGCACAGGCUCCAACGGGCACAGAAUGUGGCUGCCUGCAUUUUCUAUGGCUUAGGCCUCCACAGUCUAGUGCAGGUCAGGUCUAUGUUCAAGUCCUUCCACUGGCUUCCAGUCAGUUUCAGAUGCCAGUAAGACCUUGGUCCUAAUCUUCAAAGCAGUUACUGGUUCAAGGCUCAGCUACAUCAAUGACCAGAUUUCAAUCUAUGAACCUUUGAGACAAUGCAGAUCACAAAGGCUAGGCAUAAAGCAUUCCCAAUCAACGGACUGAAUUUCCAGAGCAAAUGAGGUAAAUCCAGACUCUGACUAUCUUUAGGAAACACUGCAAAACCUUUGAAAAAAGCUUUUCCACCAUAGCAAGGAUAACGUUCACAUCACCCCAUCUGCCUAAAUGCUUCCAUCACAUGAAGAAAUAAACUCUGUACCCCUCCUGUAAUACAAACAAAUCAACCAGCCAAAACCGACAACCAAACAAACUAAUAAGCAAAAAUACCCCAGAGUUUUUACCCCAAGAGGGGAGAAAUGCCAGAGACUCCAUCAAGACUACUAGGGACUUUGCUAUUGAUUUUACCUGGAAAAAGCUCAGAUACCAUGGUGAUGGGCAGCAGCAUAAAACCCUAAGACAGAUAGAAAUGAUCAAGUACAUAAAGUUUUGUGACCUGCUGUGUUACAAACAUUGAUUAAUUUGUCCGAUACCCAUAGCUAUAGAUGGAUGGUGUAGCUAUUACCUCCGAAGCUUUGACAUGUGGCAAAGAGUAGCUUAAUAGUUCAAUUAGCUCCUGGAAGGGCUCUUUAGGUGUGCCAAAUAAGCAGCAUGCAAUUUCUAUGAAAAAGCAAUGCUGCUGCUCCUUGUGAAGCUUUAACUUCCUGCAGUGCCAGAUGUAGCUAGUGUUUUACCAUUUCUUUCUUCAAAUAGCAGUGCUCAGGGGGGAUAAACUUUACUUAACCUAAUUAAUUUUAAUCACAGCUUUCAAAUCUCAUACUGUGCAAAGAAUUACAAAUUGGAAUACAUUAAUAGAAGCCAGGGUUUAUGCUGCAAGCUAAUUGUGAAAUGUGCAUUUAUAUUUUCUGCAUGAACUUGCAAUUACCAUUAAAAUAAAAUUCAGUUAUGUCCUUUUAAAUUACUAAAAUGUGAAGAACAGAUUGAGCUGGUCCCAUUUGUUGUACUAAAUGACUUGAAAAUGGCCUACAUUUCAAAGAAUUAAAUGACUCUCCUUGAA
This is a long non-coding RNA of Chrysemys picta bellii (western painted turtle), 1526 nucleotides long. RefSeq lists it as uncharacterized. The record is from RefSeq and is a predicted model, not a curated record. NCBI's taxonomy places the organism in Eukaryota, Metazoa, Chordata, Testudines, Emydidae.